GAUGAACGCUGACAGAAUGCUUAACACAUCAGCAAUUGAUUGGUGGCGGACGGGUGAGUAACGCGUACAGAACUUGCCUCACAGGUAGGGACAACAUUUGGAAACGAAUGCUAAUACCUAAUACUGUGAGAGAGCUUUGCCUCCCAUUAGCUAGUUGGAGAGGUAACGGCGCACCAAGGCGAUGAUGGGUAGCCGGCCUGAGAGGGUGAUCGGACAAAAGGGGACUGAGACAAGGCCCGUAAGCCUACGGGAGGCAUCAGUGGGGAAUAAUGGACAAUGGACCAAAGUCUGAUCCAGCAAUUCUGUGUGCACGAUGAAGUUUUCGGAAGGUAAAGUGCUGUCAGUUGGGAAGCGGUACCAACAGAAGAAGUGACGGCUAAAUACGUGCCAGCAGCCGCGGUAAUAC
RNAcentral lists this ribosomal RNA (406 nucleotides) under uncultured bacterium. RNAcentral's name for it is "partial 16S ribosomal RNA". It matches the Rfam family "Bacterial small subunit ribosomal RNA", at positions 28 to 526 of the family's 1533-position model. The record is from RNAcentral.